This is a small nuclear RNA of Nomascus leucogenys (northern white-cheeked gibbon), 107 nucleotides long. The record is from Ensembl. NCBI's taxonomy places the organism in Eukaryota, Metazoa, Chordata, Mammalia, Primates, Hylobatidae.
GUGCUCACUUUGGCAGCAUAUACGCUAAAGCUGGAAUGAUACAGAGAAGAUUAGCAUGGCCCCAGUGCGAGGAUGACAUGCAAAUUCAUGAAGCAUCCCAUAUUUUC